Molecule: ribosomal RNA, 882 nt
Filed under: Ophiobolus artemisiae
Lineage: Eukaryota; Fungi; Ascomycota; Dothideomycetes; Pleosporales; Phaeosphaeriaceae
Description: eukaryotic LSU rRNA
Rfam family: Eukaryotic large subunit ribosomal RNA
Source: RNAcentral
UAAGCAUAUCAAUAAGCGGAGGAAAAGAAACCAACAGGGAUUGCCCUAGUAACGGCGAGUGAAGCGGCAACAGCUCAAAUUUGAAAUCUGGCCCUUUUAGGGUCCGAGUUGUAAUUUGCAGAGGGCGCUUUGGCGUUGGCAGCGGUCCAAGUUCUUUGGAACAGGACGUCACAGAGGGUGAGAAUCCCGUACGUGGUCGCUAUCCUUCGCCGUGUAAAGCCCCUUCGACGAGUCGAGUUGUUUGGGAAUGCAGCUCUAAAUGGGAGGUAAAUUUCUUCUAAAGCUAAAUACUGGCCAGAGACCGAUAGCGCACAAGUAGAGUGAUCGAAAGAUGAAAAGCACUUUGGAAAGAGAGUCAAAUAGCACGUGAAAUUGUUGAAAGGGAAGCGCUUGCAGCCAGACUUGCCUGUAGUUGCUUAUCCGGGCUUCUGCCCGGUGCACUCUUCUAUAGGCAGGCCAGCAUCAGUUUGGGCGGCUAGAUAAAGGUCUCUGUCACGUACCCCUCUUCGGGGGGGCCUUAUAGGGGAGACGACAUGUAGCCAGCCCAGACUGAGGUCCGCGCAUCUGCUAGGAUGCUGGCGUAAUGGCUGUAAGCGGCCCGUCUUGAAACACGGACCAAGGAGUCUAACAUCUAUGCGAGUGUUUGGGUGUCAAGCCCAGACGCGUAAUGAAAGUGAACGGAGGUAGGAACCCUUUGGGUGCACUAUCGACCGAUCCUGAUGUCUUCGGAAGGAUUUGAGUAAGAGCAUGGCUGUUGGGACCCGAAAGAUGGUGAACUAUGCUUGAAUAGGGUGAAGCCAGAGGAAACUCUGGUGGAGGCUCGCAGCGGUUCUGACGUGCAAAUCGAUCGUCAAAUUUGGGCAUAGGGGCGAAAGACUAAUC